AUGGUUGUUUUGACUGAGAAAUUCCACUCUCAGAAAAAUGCCCUGCAAGGGAGUCGGCUGCACAGAAUGGAACUGACUGGCCCGAGCUUACCUCUCCCCUCAAAGGCCACCUACACCUUUGCACCUUUGUCUUCUAGUCCUCUUCAACCCAGCUCUCCCCAUGUCCAUGCAAAGAGCCUUGGGACGAGGAGACACAGAGGACCACCAGCACGACGCAGUGGCAGGUGUUGGCAGCUGUGGACGACUGUAUUUACUGACAGCACAUCUGGACUAACAUUUACCACCCUUCAGAUGUUUCAAGUCAAAAGGGGAAGGCAUACACCAGCAAGAGGACAAAGACCGGGUCACUCAGCACGUGCAGGAGGCAGUGAGAACACAGCCCGCUGGAGAGAGGAUGCCGAAACCUAGAAAAUCUGGAAGGUGAAAACUCAAGAUAACAGACAAAACCUACCUCACUACUGUGGUUAGCGUUUAGGUGAAUUUAUUUCUAGACUUUUUAGAAAUAUUUUUUUUCCUUUGGCAGAGCUGUAAUCGGUUUCCAUAAAAUUCUGUGGCCUACUUUUUUCACUUAGCAUUCUGAGCACUGUUCCCUGGUGCGACAGUCUUCAUAGCAGCCAUUUGUAGUGAAUGCAUAAUACCCAGAGAGGCUGCGUCCUCACUUACUUACCCAUUUCUCCAUCUUUUCCCAUAACACUGUAAUGAGCACUGCAACAACUUGUUGCAUAAGAAGUAGAAAGAAACUGGGUCUUGGGGAGACCCCAGCGGCUUGAUGAAGGCUUGCCUGGGGCUGACUUCUCUGAACCUUUCCAUUCCGUGAGCCAGGAACACUAUGCCCUAUUGCUUAAGCCCAUGGGAGUUACAUUUUCUCUGACUUGCCGUCAUGUCACCCACCUAACGCAAGAUCUCCAAGGGCAGCACUGUUUGUCCUGCUCACCGCUGUAGUCCCACUUGAAUCCUCAGUCAAGGCACGGUGGCCUGCACAAAGUGUAGGAACUAAAUAAAUAUGCAGAAAUAAAAUAAUAGGACCUCUCU
RNAcentral lists this long non-coding RNA (1032 nucleotides) under Urocitellus parryii (Arctic ground squirrel). Its description in RNAcentral is "lncRNA (ENSUPAG00010004676.1)". The record is from RNAcentral. Lineage: Eukaryota; Metazoa; Chordata; Mammalia; Rodentia; Sciuridae.